RNAcentral lists this ribosomal RNA (402 nucleotides) under uncultured bacterium. RNAcentral describes it as "partial 16S ribosomal RNA". It matches the Rfam family "Archaeal small subunit ribosomal RNA", at positions 473 to 873 of the family's 1478-position model. The record is from RNAcentral.
ACACCGGCAGCUCAAGUGGUAGCCGCUUUUAUUGGGCCUAAAGCGUCCGUAGCCGGUCUGAUAAGUCUCUGGUGAAAUCCCGCAGCUUAACUGUGGGAAUUGCUGGAGAUACUAUCAUGACUCGAGGUCGGGAGAGGCUGGAGGUACUCCCAGGGUGGGGGUGAAAUCCUGUAAUCCUGGGAGGACCACCUGUGGCGAAGGCGUCCAGCUGGAACGAACCUGACGGGGAGGGACGAAAGCCAGGGGCGCGAACCGGAUUAGAUACCCGGGUAGUCCUGGCCGUAAACGAUGUGGACUUGGUGUUGGGAUGGCUUCGAGCUGCCCCAGUGCCGAAGGGAAGCUGUUAAGUCCACCGCCUGGGAAGUACGGCCGCAAGGCUGAAACUUAAAGGAAUUGGCGGGG